UCUCAAGCUCAUAGCAGCCUACAUGCACUGAAUCUGGCGGGAACUCAGAAGUUAAGCAAGGUUCGGCCCAUUUAGUGCUUGGAUGGGAGACCACCUGGAAAUAUUGUGUGUCUGACAC
Molecule: ribosomal RNA, 118 nt
Filed under: Carlito syrichta (Philippine tarsier)
Lineage: Eukaryota; Metazoa; Chordata; Mammalia; Primates; Tarsiidae
Source: RNAcentral